UUCUACCAAUUUUAUCUUUAUCGCCGCAUCCACCUUCUUCACCUUCAACUUAUAAAAUUCUAUUUGCAUAAACGACUUUGAGGAAAGAAGAAACAGGGGAGAAGGAUUGAGAGUUUGUUAACAAAUCUAAUGCAUUGCGACUUCUACAAGUAAAUAAGGGAAUAGUAAGGAGGAGGAAGAAGAGCAAACGGAAGAAAUAUAGGAGGCCGCAAUGUUGAGGCUAUGUAAUUUCACGACAACAAUUUCAACAGGGCCUGCAUGUUUUUUACCAUGGAAAGUGAUGAAAAUGAGGAUUUUCGACUAAUAUUGGGCGACAAAAUAUUCUGGUUUUCUUUAGAUGGGAGACACCUCUCGGCAGUUGCCUACCCAGGUUUUGGCCAUUUCAAAGUCAUCGGUACCUGACAUUUGAAAAUUUUAUCCAAAGUAAAAAUCCAUCCAAGGCGUAAG
Molecule: long non-coding RNA, 447 nt
Organism: Juglans microcarpa x Juglans regia
Lineage: Eukaryota; Viridiplantae; Streptophyta; Magnoliopsida; Fagales; Juglandaceae
Exons: 3
Source: RefSeq, a predicted model, not a curated record